This 266-nucleotide ribosomal RNA is filed under the name uncultured bacterium. RNAcentral describes it as "partial 16S ribosomal RNA". It matches the Rfam family "Bacterial small subunit ribosomal RNA", at positions 333 to 616 of the family's 1533-position model. The record is from RNAcentral.
GGAAUCCUACGGGAGGCAGCAGUAGGGAAUAUUGCUCAAUGGGGGAAACCCUGAAGCAGCAACGCCGCGUGGAGGAUGAAGGUUUUCGGAUUGUAAACUCCUUUUGUUAGAGAAGAUAAUGACGGUAUCUAACGAAUAAGCACCGGCUAACUCCGUGCCAGCAGCCGCGGUAAUACGGAGGGUGCAAGCGUUACUCGGAAUCACUGGGCGUAAAGAGCGCGCAGGCGGGAUAGCAAGUCAGAUGUGAAAUACUAUGGCUUAACCAU